Molecule: non-coding RNA, 764 nt
Organism: Acipenser ruthenus (sterlet)
Lineage: Eukaryota; Metazoa; Chordata; Actinopteri; Acipenseriformes; Acipenseridae
Source: the annotation of a RefSeq genome assembly
CUAUUUGAAUAGACUGCACACAAAGCCUCUAUGCAAAGCUGCUAGCAGCUGCUCUCAGUAUAAAUAGCAGAAGCCAGCUCUCAUACAGCAGUCAGUGGAGACAUACACACCUGAUACAGCUGAAGACAAGCCUUCACACAAUGCGUUUACUGAGACAUGUGUUGCUGCUCUGCUUGGGUUUGCAAUAUGCAGGCUGUGCUGAUGUUAUAACCCAGUCCAGUCCUGAAGUCAGAAAGCCAGGAGAAUCUCUCAAGCUGUCUUGUAAAAUCUCUGGAUACUCUUUGACUGACAGCAGUAGCUGGUUUGCCACAGUCUGGAUUCGUCAGCCUGUCGGGAAAGCACUGGAAUGGCUGGCGUUUAUCGGCUAUGAUGCAGAUACAAGCUAUGCACAGUCAAUCCAGGGCCGGUUCACAGUCAGCAAGUCUGAUUCCAGCAGCACUGUGUUCUUACAGAUGAACAGCCUGAAGACUGAAGACACUGCCGUGUAUUACUGUGCUCAUGUCCGAUCUGACGUGGUCUUGACCCAGUGUGACCCAGCCAUGAAGAAGCCUGGAGAAUCUGUACAGUUGUCCUGUCGGAUCUCGGGGUUCACCUACGCUGGCAGCAGGAGCUACUAUAUGAACUGGAUGAGACAAGAGCCUGAGAAGAGUGUCCGAUCUGACGUGGUCUUGACCCAGUGUGACCCAGCCAUGAAGAAGCCUGGAGAAUCUGUCCAGUUGUCCUGUCGGAUCUCGGGGUUCACCUACGCUGGCUACGCUAUAUGA